GGAAUAUUGCACAAUGGGGGGAACCCUGAUGCAGCAAUGCCGCGUGGGUGAAGAAGCACUCCGGUGCGUAAAGCCCUGUCAGCAGGGAAGAAAAUGACAGUACCUGGACAAGAAGCCCCGGCUAACUACGUGCCAGCAGCCGCGGUAGUACGUAGGGGGCAAGCGUUAUCCGGAUUUACUGGGUGUAAAGGGAGCGCAGGCGGCGUGGCAAGUCAGAUGUGAAAACCCGGGGCCCAACCCCGGGAGUGCAUUUGAAACUGCCAUGCUGGAGUGCCGGAGAGGUAAGCGGAAUUCCUAGUGUAGCGGUGAAAUGCGUAGAUAUUAGGAGGAACACCAGUGGCGGAGGCGGCUUACUGGACGGUAACUGACGCUGAGGCUCGAAAGCGUGGGGAGCAAACA
This 399-nucleotide ribosomal RNA is filed under the name uncultured bacterium. Its description in RNAcentral is "bacterial SSU rRNA". It matches the Rfam family "Bacterial small subunit ribosomal RNA", at positions 358 to 774 of the family's 1533-position model. The record is from RNAcentral.